UGCCUCAGUAACGGCGAGUGAAGCGGCAAGAGCUCAAAUUUGAAAUCUGGCCCCCUCGGGGUCCGAGUUGUAAUUUGCAGAGGAUGCUUCGGGUGCGGCCCCCGUCUAAGUGCCCUGGAACGGGCCGUCAUAGAGGGUGAGAAUCCCGUCUGGGACGGGGUGUCCGCGUCCGUGUGAAGCUCCUUCGACGAGUCGAGUUGUUUGGGAAUGCAGCUCUAAAUGGGUGGUAAAUUUCAUCUAAAGCUAAAUACUGGCCGGAGACCGAUAGCGCACAAGUAGAGUGAUCGAAAGAUGAAAAGCACUUUGAAAAGAGAGUUAAAAAGCACGUGAAAUUGUUGAAAGGGAAGCGCUUGCGACCAGACUCGCCCGCGGGGUUCAGCCGGCAUUCGUGCCGGUGUACUUCCCCGCGGGCGGGCCAGCGUCGGUUUGGGCGGCCGGUCAAAGGCCCCCGGAAUGUAGCACCCUUCGGGGUGCCUUAUAGCCGGGGGUGCAAUGCGGCCAGCCUGGACCGAGGAACGCGCUUCGGCACGGACGCUGGCAUAAUGGUCGUAAACGACCCGUCUUGAAACACGGACCAAGGAGUCUAACAUCUACGCGAGUGUUCGGGUGUCAAACCCGUGCGCGCAGUGAAAGCGAACGGAGGUGGGAGCCCCCCCCGCGGGGCGCACCAUCGACCGAUCCUGAUGUCUUCGGAUGGAUUUGAGUAAGAGCGUAAAUGUGGGGACCCGAAAGAUGGUGAACUAUGCCUGAAUAGGGCGAAGCCAGAGGAAACUCUGGUGGAGGCUCGCAGCGGUUCUGACGUGCAAAUCGAUCGUCAAAUUUGGGUAUAGGGGCGAAAGACUAAUCGAACCAUCUGGUAGCUGGUUCCUGCCGAAGUUUCCCUCAGGAUAGCAGUAGCGCGGAUCAGUUUUAUGAGGUAAAGCGAAUGAUUAGAGGCAUUGGGGUUGAAACAACCUUAACCUAUUCUCAAACUUUAAAUAUGUAAGAAGCCCUUGUUGCUUAGUUGAACGUGGGCAUUAGAAUGAAGCGCUAUUAGUGGGCCAUUUUUGGUAAGCAGAACUGGCGAUGCGGGAUGAACCGAACGCGAGGUUAAGGUGCCGGAAUGCACGCUCAUCAGACACCACAAAAGGUGUUAGUUCAUCUAGACAGCCCGACGGUGGCCAUGGAAGUCGGAAUCCGCUAAGGAG
This 1187-nucleotide ribosomal RNA is filed under the name Eurotiomycetes sp. RNAcentral describes it as "partial large subunit ribosomal RNA". It matches the Rfam family "Eukaryotic large subunit ribosomal RNA", at positions 76 to 1278 of the family's 3401-position model. The record is from RNAcentral. Lineage: Eukaryota; Fungi; Ascomycota; Eurotiomycetes.